This 122-nucleotide microRNA precursor is filed under the name Macleaya cordata. RNAcentral describes it as "MIR408 microRNA precursor family". It matches the Rfam family "MIR408 microRNA precursor family". Lineage: Eukaryota; Viridiplantae; Streptophyta; Magnoliopsida; Ranunculales; Papaveraceae. The record is from Rfam by way of RNAcentral.
AGACAGAAAGACAGACAGACGGGGAUAAGGUAGAGCAUGAGAUGGACCAAAUCAACAUCAAAAUAUGUUGUUUGCUCUUCCCAUGCACUGCCUCUUCCCUGGCUCUCUCCCUCUCCUUCUCC